CAAUAAUCAAUUUAAAAUCCAUUAUAUCGGAUCAAUUCUUCAUUUUAACAAGUAAGGAAAAUUCAGAAUGAUCUUCAAAGGGAUAUAGACCUAUAUUUGUUGCCGGCUUUUUUAUAUUAAUAACUGGAUACGGGUUGCAAUCUUUCGUUGUCAUAACUGAACCCUCUUGCGCAAGACUUUUUCGAACAGUCAGAGUCGGGUUUUGGGAUUGCCUCAAAUUGAAAAUCGAAAAAUACUUCGAGGGAACAUUUUGUUCUGAUGACAACUAUUCGUGGCUGUAUUAAUUGAUAACAUAUAAUUUCGGCAAGCGAGACUGUAAUUUGAUGAAUGAAUUUAUGCAAGAUUUCUUCCCGGAUGAACGUACCAUCAUACAAAGAAUAUACGACCGUAUGUGCUGUAAAACAAAAUCUGAAUGGGGAUUACGAGCACUUUUCGAGUAUCUUGGCAAACUUCCCCUCGGUGUCCAGAAAUCUACUCGCUAUACCAUCUAACACAUGUUAUACUCUAUAAGUUUAUGGAACCAAGUCGUCAGUGGAUCGAAAAAGUUUGGGAAUCACUGAUUUAAAGCAUAACUAUGAAAAUAUGUUUUAAAUUAAAAAUGCUACAUUUUAAUUUUUACGUCAUAACGCAUUAAAUCAUCAUUUAUUCUUAUUGGGUCCAGCCCCACGAAGAAAUUUGAAAAUUUUAAUAUGAAACAAUAGGCUACAUAAAAAUUUUUAAAAAAUUUAAAUUUAUUUUAAAAACUUGCAUUUUUAAAACAAUAACCAAAGCAAUAUGGAUUUGCGGAAGUAUUUUCUCAAUGUAUUUACAUACCAACACAAAAGCUAAAUUAGAAAUCUAUAUUUACAUAAUAGAAUUAACACAGCUGAAUUAAAACACGAGCUUUUGUAGAAUAAACAAAGAAUUUGUUAGUUAUUUCUUCUACGAAUAUUAAUUUUAAUUUUUCAAUUUUAUUAUUAACGUCUCGGCCAUUAAUAGAAGAGACCCAAAACUUUGUACGAUUGUAAUAAUUAUACAGCAAAGUUAUUUUCUUUCCUCGAUCGUCCAACGUAAGGAUUUACACGUUAAAUCAAACUGUUUAACUCGAAUAGGGUUUUGAUACAGUAUCUUUAUGCUCUCCGAAAUUCUAAAUUUAAAUAAAAUAAUUAACGUUCAUCAAUCGAAUAAACUAAUCAGAAAUUUUCUAUAAAGAGCAAACUCAUGCGACUAAACAUAAACAUCCUGUCGUGACGGCGAGUUGGAGUUGUACACGUGUAAAUUACAGUAUCUUCGUCACGCAUACUUCCAGAGAGCUUGUUGCGUGACCUACAUACUGUAACUGCUAUUCGGACCUGCUUUUUCGAACAUUUUUAAAAAUUUGAUUGCCGAUGUCCGACCAGCCGACAUGGAGUUUUGGUAAAUUAAUUUUAAAAAAUCAAAUUAUAGUCCGAUCGUAUGUAAAAAUUUUUUCUUUAGCGGCAAAAUUUUAAAAUACAACAGUGGUAAAAAGUGGUAUGUUUGUGAUAAAAAAUACACGUGUUCUAAACGCAAAAUAUCGUAAUCGUAAAAAUCGCAAAAUAUGAUGUAUUAAUAUUGAAAACGAAAAGUUUUGUAUUUUGUCUAUUAUUCUUCUCUUAUUUUUGUCUCCCAGAUUAUGGUAUCUCGACGGAUCAAUCAUUCGG
Centruroides sculpturatus (bark scorpion) is the source of this 1661-nucleotide long non-coding RNA. RefSeq lists it as uncharacterized. Lineage: Eukaryota; Metazoa; Arthropoda; Arachnida; Scorpiones; Buthidae. The record is from RefSeq and is a predicted model, not a curated record. The transcript has 3 exons.